Molecule: ribosomal RNA, 468 nt
Filed under: uncultured bacterium
Lineage: Bacteria
Description: partial 16S ribosomal RNA
Rfam family: Bacterial small subunit ribosomal RNA
Source: RNAcentral
GACGAACGCUGGCGGCGUGCUUAACACAUGCAAGUCGAACGGAAAGGCCCUGCUUUUGUGGGGUGCUCGAGUGGCGAACGGGUGAGUAACACGUGAGUAACCUGCCCUUGACUUUGGGAUAACUUCAGGAAACUGGGGCUAAUACCGGAUAGGAGCUCCUGCUGCAUGGUGGGGGUUGGAAAGUUUCGGCGGUUGGGGAUGGACUCGCGGCUUAUUAGCUUGUUGGUGUGGUAGUGGCUUACCAAGGCUUUGACGGGUAGCCGGCCUGAGAGGGUGACCGGCCACAUUGGGACUGAGAUACGGCCCAGACUCCUACGGGAGGCAGAAGUGGGGAAUAUUGCACAAUGGGCGGAAGCCUGAUGCAGCGACGCCGCGUGCGGGAUGACGGCCUUCGGGUUGUAAACCGCUUUCGCCUGUGACGAAGCGUGAGUGACGGUAAUGGGUAAAGAAGCACCGGCUAACUACGUG